Molecule: non-coding RNA, 1820 nt
Organism: Arachis ipaensis
Lineage: Eukaryota; Viridiplantae; Streptophyta; Magnoliopsida; Fabales; Fabaceae
Source: RefSeq, a predicted model, not a curated record
AAUAAGCAUUAAUUUCUUUUCAGUGGAAGACUUGAAGGCCAAUACAGAAUAUACUGGCUAUACUGUGGCGUCAAAUGUCGUUCAAUGGUUUUGGGAGGUGGUCAAAACUUUUAACAAGGAAGACAUGGCAAGAUUUCUGAAAUUUGCGACUGGAACAUCAAAGGUUCCUUUGGAAGGUUUUAAGGCCUUGCAAGGCAUCUCUGGUCCUCAGAGGUUUCAGAUUCACAAGGCAUAUGGAGCUCCAGAUUGAUUGUCGUCGGCUCAUACAUGCUUCAAUCAACUAUACCUUCCAGAGUAUACCUCUAAAGAACAGCUUCAAGAACGGUUGUUACUAGCCAUUCAUGAGGCCAGUGAAGGCUUUGGUUUUGGUUGACUUCUAUCCUUCUCCCAUAUCUUUGCACAGCAGUUCUACCAUUAUGUCUUACACCUGUCAUGUGGAGGUAUUGUUUUUAUUUCUUCAAAAAUUUUGAAUUUUUUAUUUUUCUCUCUCUUAAAAAUGAGUCAGUUACGAAGAGUUCUCUGUUUUUCAAAUGAUGAUGAAUGUGACUCAGAUGGGAAGUUAUUUAUUUUUGUUGAGGACACGCAGCAUCGAAUGAGGAAAUUUAUGAUGCUGUGUUGAUGUGUUCAUUAUCAGAUCGAUUUUGCAUAUAUGAUGCUGUGUUGAGGACAUGCAUUUGGUGUUGUAGAGUCAUUAUCAGAUCGAUUUUGCAUUCAUUUUGAUGUGAAUAUCUCUCUCUGUGUGAACGAUCUUCUCGCAUGCUGUGGCUUUUUGUGUGGAUCUGGUUGUGAUGGAGGGUAUCCCCUAAAUGCAUAGCGAUACCUAGUCAGCUAUAGUGUUGUCACUGAAGAGGUUCUAAACUAGCUGGUCAAGGAGCACCCGACUAUGGCACUCGGAGUAUGCUUGCACCAUUUAAGUUUCUGGUUUCUCUUUCUUCCAAUAUUCUUUGUUUUGGUGUAUAUGUUCACAUGAACCUACAUCAAGUUUAUGAUAUGGAGAAGCAUCAUUGCAUUGUCUCGUUUCAUUGAAAUUUGAGAUUGUGUCUGUAUAUAAAGCAUCACCAUGGACUCGAUCUGCUGGUUGAAGCAUCAUAUUGUGAUUAUUAUCAAUGGUUGUAAAACAACCUUAUUUCAGAUUCUUAUGAUUUGUAUUGACAUAUAGAUCAUCAAAACUCUCAAUUAACUCUAAUAAAAAUAAUUUGAAAAGAAAAAAAAAGGCUUCCUUUAAGAUAAUCGUUACAUGAGAUUACAUUUCUUCUCAUCUGCUCUUAGGUUGGGACUGUUCUCAAGAUUGAGGAUGCAAAAGCUGCAAUCAAUGCUCGAGCAAAAUUUUUUAUGAUUCCAGCAAUUGUUAAGGUUUGAAUUUUGAGAUCUUAGUAGUAUAUUAGGAUGUCAGAUAACAACUGCUAGUGCUUGGUCACAAUGUUUUGUUAUUUCUUUCAUUUUCUUUUUCUUUUUCUUUAUUUCUUUUUUUUUGGGCGCUCCGAUCAAUUACCAGGAUGUUAUGUAUUACAUUCAGAAUGGUGAAGUUUUAUACAUUCCUGGCACAAUGACUCCAACUGAAAUAUUGUCUGCAUGUGAAGCAGGAGCUAAAAUGGUCGAGGUUGGCCUUCUAAUGUUCUGUUUAGUUUACCAUGUUGAAGAACAUUCAAAUAAUCAAAUAUAGAUAAGAGUGUGCAUGUGCACACUUGUUGCAUGGAGGAGUAUGCACUUUUGGUUUUUCUUGCGUUGCAUUUUUUCAUCUGUUUUCGGCUCAUAGGAGGGAUGCACUAAUCUCCUGAUCCCGACUCUAAUUUUUUCUAGAUUUGUGCUGAUAAUUUUCA